AGAGUUUGAUCCUGGCUCAGGACGAACGCUGGCGGCGUGCCUAACACAUGCAAGUCGAACGGAGAAUUUCAAUAAGCUUGCUUAGAGAAAUUCUUAGUGGCGGACGGGUGAGUAACGCGUGGGUAACCUACCCAUAAAGCCGGGACAACCCUUGGAAACGAGGGCUAAUACCGGAUAAUCUUAAGAGUUGGCAUCAGCUUUUAAGGAAAGGUGGCCUCUGAAAAUGCUACCGAUUAUGGAUGGACCCGCGUCUGAUUAGCUAGUUGGUGGGGUAAAGGCCUACCAAGGCGACGAUCAGUAGCCGGCCUGAGAGGGUGAACGGCCACACUGGGACUGAGACACGGCCCAGACUCCUACGGGAGGCAGCAGUGGGGAAUCUUCCGCAAUGGACGAAAGUCUGACGGAGCAACGCCGCGUGUAUGAUGAAGGUCUUCGGA
Molecule: ribosomal RNA, 437 nt
Filed under: uncultured bacterium
Lineage: Bacteria
Description: bacterial SSU rRNA
Rfam family: Bacterial small subunit ribosomal RNA
Source: RNAcentral